RNAcentral lists this transfer-messenger RNA (372 nucleotides) under Bacteroidota bacterium. It matches the Rfam family "transfer-messenger RNA". From Rfam's summary of the family: Bacterial tmRNA, also known as 10Sa RNA or SsrA, is named for its dual tRNA and mRNA-like properties. The record is from RNAcentral. Lineage: Bacteria; Pseudomonadati; Bacteroidota.
GGGGCUGCCCGGUUUUGACAGCAUAGGUCUUUGAAAGUAUAAGCAUGUCGUGCGUUGGGCAAUUAGCACGUUAAUCUGAAUGCUCAACAUUCAAAUGGCAAUACUCAGUAUGCCAUGGCUGCCUAAUCAGUGAUUAGAUAGUCAUUAGGGCCCUGCGGCAGGUUGACCUGUUACCAAGCUGCACCGCCGACUCAAAAUAAAUACAGGUUGCUGCAACGGAAGGCUGUGACCGUUGCUUAAGCCCAUCCAGCUAAGGAAAUGAUUGGUGCGCCCGGCUCCUGUCAUUUCCCGACAACCAAUGCCGGGCUAAGCAUGUAGAAAGCUUUUAACGAUCAUGUUUGGACAGGGGUUCGACUCCCCUCAGCUCCACCU